GAACGCUGGCGGCAGGCCUAACACAUGCAAGUCGAGCGGAAACGAGUUAACUGAACCUUCGGGGAACGUUAACGGCGUCGAGCGGCGGACGGGUGAGUAAUGCCUGGGAAAUUGCCCUGAUGUGGGGGAUAACCAUUGGAAACGAUGGCUAAUACCGCAUAAUAGCUUCGGCUCAAAGAGGGGGACCUUCGGGCCUCUCGCGUCAGGAUAUGCCCAGGUGGGAUUAGCUAGUUGGUGAGGUAAUGGCUCACCAAGGCGACGAUCCCUAGCUGGUCUGAGAGGAUGAUCAGCCACACUGGAACUGAGACACGGUCCAGACUCCUACGGGAGGCAGCAGUGGGGAAUAUUGCACAAUGGGCGCAAGCCUGAUGCAGCCAUGCCGCGUGUAUGAAGAAGGCCUUCGGGUUGUAAAGUACUUUCAGCAGUGAGGAAGGCGGAGUCGUUAAUAGCGGCCUCGUUUGACGUUAGCUGCAGAAGAAGCACCGGCUAACUCCGUGCCAGCAGCCGCGGUAAUACGGAGGGUGCGAGCGUUAAUCGGAAUUACUGGGCGUAAAGCGCAUGCAGGUGGUUUGUUAAGUCAGAUGUGAAAGCCCGGGGCUCAACCUCGGAAUUGCAUUUGAAACUGGCAGAC
RNAcentral lists this ribosomal RNA (631 nucleotides) under uncultured bacterium. RNAcentral describes it as "bacterial SSU rRNA". It matches the Rfam family "Bacterial small subunit ribosomal RNA", at positions 31 to 641 of the family's 1533-position model. The record is from RNAcentral.